CCUUCUACCAUUUUCUUCACACCAUUCUUCUCUCCAUCUCUCUAAUUCUCUCAAUCUCUCUAAAUCAAGAAUUCUAAAAGUACACUAAGUGUUCUAACCAUUCUUCUCUCAACCUCUUUACUUCUCUCAAAUCGUCAAAGCAAGGAAGAGAACUCUAAGAGUUCUAAAAGAAAACACUAAGUGUUUUAUAGGAAGCUUUGAAGCUCCAAUCUCUAACUCUUCACGGAAUCACCAAAGGAAACUUUGCAAAACUGUUUUGAGAUGAUGUUGAUGAUGCAUGGGACAUAGUAUGAUGCUUAGAUACACAUUUAAAAUUUUGUAUUCUUAUUGUAUUGUCAUUCUUGUAUUUCAAGUUGUUGUAUUUGAUUCCAACCUUUGUAAUUGACUUUUAGAAAUGAAAUGAAAUUCAUUAUUUAA
This is a long non-coding RNA of Helianthus annuus (common sunflower), 417 nucleotides long. RefSeq lists it as uncharacterized. NCBI's taxonomy places the organism in Eukaryota, Viridiplantae, Streptophyta, Magnoliopsida, Asterales, Asteraceae. The record is from RefSeq and is a predicted model, not a curated record. The transcript has 2 exons.